AAGUCGUAACAAGGUUUCCGUAGGUGAACCUGCGGAAGGAUCAUUACUGAUUUUAAAUCAAUACACCGUGAACCGAGGUGGGCUUGUUGAGGUAAUACUCGAUGAGCCGCCUUAAAAGUCCCGACGUUAGGCUUCCUUUUGGGGGGUCUUUGACUGGGCAUUUAUAAAACUUUAAGCAGAGUCAAUUAGUUUAAUCUAAUAUACGACAACUUUUAGCAACGGAUCUCUAGGUUCUC
This 236-nucleotide unclassified non-coding RNA is filed under the name fungal sp. RNAcentral describes it as "partial internal transcribed spacer region". The stretch from base 1 to 46 matches the Rfam family "Eukaryotic small subunit ribosomal RNA", at positions 1786 to 1831 of the family's 1831-position model. The record is from RNAcentral. Lineage: Eukaryota; Fungi.